CCUACGGGAGGCAGCAGUGGGGAAUGUUGGACAAUGGGCGCAAGCCUGAUCCAGCGAUGCCGCGUGAGGGAUGACGGCCCUCGGGUGGUAAACCACUUUAGUAGAGAACGAAAAGGAGCUAUCGAAUAAAUAGCUCUGCUGACGGUACUCUAAGAAGAAGCACCGGCUAACUACGUGCCAGCAGCCGCGGCAAUACGUAGGGUGCGAGCGUUAAUCGGAAUUACUGGGCGUAAAGGGUGUGCAGGCGGCGGAGUAAGACAGAGGUGAAAUCCCCGGGCUUACCCUGGGAACCGCAUAUGUGCCUUCUUGGCUAGAGUGCGUCUGAGGGAGGUGGAAUUCCACGUGUAGCGGUGAAAUGCGUAGAUAUGUGGUAGAACACCGAUCGCGAAGGCAGCCUCCUGGGCCGCAACUGACGCUCAUGCACGAAAGCGUGGGGAGCAAACAGGAUUAGAUACCCUUGUAGUC
RNAcentral lists this ribosomal RNA (465 nucleotides) under uncultured bacterium. Its description in RNAcentral is "partial 16S ribosomal RNA". It matches the Rfam family "Bacterial small subunit ribosomal RNA", at positions 338 to 795 of the family's 1533-position model. The record is from RNAcentral.